RNAcentral lists this transfer RNA (85 nucleotides) under Bacteroidota bacterium. Its description in RNAcentral is "Bacteroidetes bacterium (groundwater metagenome) tRNA-Leu". It matches the Rfam family "tRNA". From Rfam's summary of the family: Transfer RNA (tRNA) molecules are approximately 80 nucleotides in length. The record is from RNAcentral. Lineage: Bacteria; Pseudomonadati; Bacteroidota.
GGACGGGUGGCGGAAUUGGCAGACGCACUGGACUUAAAAUCCAGUUCUAAAAUGAGUGCAGGUUCGAGUCCUGCCCCGUCUACGA